RNAcentral lists this ribosomal RNA (420 nucleotides) under uncultured microorganism. Its description in RNAcentral is "bacterial SSU rRNA". It matches the Rfam family "Bacterial small subunit ribosomal RNA", at positions 9 to 429 of the family's 1533-position model. The record is from RNAcentral.
GAGUUUGAUCAUGGCUCAGGACGAACGCUGGCGGCGUGCUUAACACAUGCAAGUCGAACGGUGACCUCGGAGCUUGCUCCGGGUGAUCAGUGGCGAACGGGUGAGUAACACGUGAGCAACCUGCCCCCGACUCUGGGAUAACCCCGGGAAAUCGGAGCUAAUACCGGAUACGAGACGCACAGGCAUCUGUUGCGUCUGGAAAGAAUUUCGGUCGGGGAUGGGCUCGCGGCCUAUCAGCUAGUUGGUGGGGUAGUGGCCUACCAAGGCGACGACGGGUAGCCGGCUUGAGAGGGCGACCGGCCACACUGGGACUGAGACACGGCCCAGACUCCUACGGGAGGCAGCAGUGGGGAAUAUUGCACAAUGGGCGCAAGCCUGAUGCAGCGACGCCGCGUGAGGGAUGACGGCCUCGGUUGUAAC